GGGGUUGUAGCUCAGCGGUAGAGCGCUCCUUUAGCAUGUGUGAGGCCCUGGGUUCGAGCCUCAGCACCACA
RNAcentral lists this transfer RNA (71 nucleotides) under Marmota monax (woodchuck). RNAcentral describes it as "tRNA.Ala". It matches the Rfam family "tRNA". From Rfam's summary of the family: Transfer RNA (tRNA) molecules are approximately 80 nucleotides in length. Their secondary structure includes four short double-helical elements and three loops (D, anti-codon, and T loops). The record is from RNAcentral. Lineage: Eukaryota; Metazoa; Chordata; Mammalia; Rodentia; Sciuridae.